Ictalurus punctatus (channel catfish) is the source of this 1153-nucleotide long non-coding RNA. The record is from Ensembl. NCBI's taxonomy places the organism in Eukaryota, Metazoa, Chordata, Actinopteri, Siluriformes, Ictaluridae.
UUCACUAUAUAUGUGUGUGUGCGCGCAGGCCAGACAGACAGACAGAGAGACGGUAUAUGGACAGCACACCAAAACAUUUUAUUUUUUUUUAAAUGCAUGAUAUAUAAUAUCGGAAUAUUUCUUACCCCACUCUGGGCUAACUACAAAUGUACACUUAGGACAGAAUACCCCUUCUGGAAAAUUGCCGUUCCCGAGUUUGGACACACGAGGGCAGUCACGCUCCAUCCAGCACAACGCCGCCUGAAACAGAAGGAGGUCGCAGCCCCGGAGUCCCAGCCCGAGGUUAACGUGGCAACCUCGGAGCCUCUGCCUGAGGUCAACAGGGCGACCUCAGAGCUCCAGUUGGAGACCCACGGGGAGGUCUCUCCCACCGAGGAAGCUGUCCCGCUGCCCUGUCCUGCUGAGGAAGCUGUUCCGCUGUCCUUUUCUGCUGAGGAAGCUGUCCUGCUGCCCUGUCCUGCUGAGGAAGCUGUCCCGCUGCCCUGUCCUGCUGAGGAAGCUGUCCCACUGCCCUGUCCUGCUGAGAAAGCUGUUCCGCUGGGGAUGUCGCCCAGCGUUCCAGCCCUGCUGGGGAUGUCGCUCAGCGUUCCAGCCCCACAGGGGGUGUCACCCCGAGUUUCAACCCCACUGGGGGUGGUGCUCCCCCUGUCUGCUGCCCGGCGAAGGCCGCUUUGUUUUCCGAUGCAUCGAGAGACAGCUCAUACAGGGGCCCGGGACUGCCGUUGGAGGUGGGUACUGUUAUGCUCCCGCCGGCAGAUGGCACUGCAGCGUCGACAUGCCCACGCGGCUGUAGAGAGCGCGCGUGCACGAGACCGAACGUGGCAUACGGACACGUGUCUUUGUUUUGGUUUGGUCCUCCUUCUGUUUAAGCAUUGGUUGAUGUUCGAGGGUGUGUCUUGAUUUACUCCAGGUGUCUGUGUUUUAGUUUGAUUGUGUUUGUUAUUUAAACCCCUUGUGUUGCUGUGCACUUCGCAGUAUUAAAUGAGUAUUUGAACCUCUGAGUGUAAUGUAUAGACUGCGUUUCCUGUGUUUUGUCUGCUGUGUAAAAAUAAAGACGCUGAUCUGCACCUGCUUCUGCUUCCACCUCCCGGUCCGUAAUAGUUACUAUGCAGCAUAAGAUAUUAAUUAAGAUACCUUGGUGAUUUAAUUAAAA